GUACACUCCUACGGGAGGCAGCAGUGGGGAAUAUUGCACAAUGGGCGCAAGCCUGAUGCAGCCAUGACGCGUGUAUGAAGAAGGCCUUCGGGUUGUAAAGUACUUUCAGCGGGGAGGAAGGCGAUAAGGUUAAUAACCUUGUUGAUUGACGUUACCCGCAGAAGAAGCACCGGCUAACUCCGUGCCAGCAGCCGCGGUAAUACGGAGGGUGCAAGCGUUAAUCGGAAUUACUGGGCGUAAAGCGCACGCAGGCGGUCUGUCAAGUCGGAUGUGAAAUCCCCGGGCUCAACCUGGGAACUGCAUUCGAAACUGGCAGGCUAGAGUCUUGUAGAGGGGGGUAGAAUUCCAGGUGUAGCGGUGAAAUGCGUAGAGAUCUGGAGGAAUACCGGUGGCGAAGGCGGCCCCCUGGACAAAGACUGACGCUCAGGUGCGAAAGCGUGGGGAGCAAACAGGAUUAGAAACCCGUGUAGUCCCAUGA
This 478-nucleotide ribosomal RNA is filed under the name uncultured organism. RNAcentral's name for it is "partial 16S ribosomal RNA". It matches the Rfam family "Bacterial small subunit ribosomal RNA", at positions 331 to 800 of the family's 1533-position model. The record is from RNAcentral.